UCGUUAGGAAGGGAAACCCCGGGAACUGGGGAAAUACCUCAUAGGUUACGGAGGCUGGAAUGCCCUGUAACCCAAAGCUCCGGCGCCUCAGGAUGAGUCUGCGGCCGAUUAGGUUGUUGUUGGGGUAACGGCCCAACAAGCCGAUAAUCGGUACGGGUUGUGGGAGCAAGAGCCCGGAGAUGGAUUCUGAGACAUGAAUCCAGGCCCUACGGGGCGCAGCAGGCGCGAAAACUUUACAAUGCGAGCAAUCGUGAUAAGGGAACCCCGAGUGCCUGUACACGCAGGCUGUUCAGAUGUCUAAAACACAUCUGGAGAAAGGGCCGGGCAAGACCGGUGCCAGCCGCCGCGGUAAUACCGGCGGCUCGAGUGGUGGCCACUAUUACUGGGCUUAAAGCGUCCGUAGCUGGGUUGUUAAGUCUCCUGAGAAAUCUGCCGGCUUAACCGUCAGGCGUUCAGGAGAUACUGGCAAUCUCGGGACUGGGGGAGGUGAGAGGUACUCCGGGGGUAGGAGUGAAAUCCUGUAAUCCUCGGGGGACCACCUGUGGCGAAGGCGUCUCACCAGAACAGCUCCGACAGUGAGGGACGAAAGCUGGGGGAGCAAACCGGAUUAGAUACCCGGGUAGUCCCAGCUGUAAACGAUGCGCGUUAGGUGUGUCGGUAACCACGAGUUACCGAGGUGCCGUAGGGAAACUGCUAAACGCGCCGCCUGGGAAGUACGGUCGCAAGGCUGAAACUUAAAGGAAUUGGCGGGGGAGCAC
Molecule: ribosomal RNA, 758 nt
Filed under: uncultured archaeon
Lineage: Archaea
Description: bacterial SSU rRNA
Rfam family: Archaeal small subunit ribosomal RNA
Source: RNAcentral